This 248-nucleotide ribosomal RNA is filed under the name uncultured bacterium. Its description in RNAcentral is "partial 16S ribosomal RNA". It matches the Rfam family "Bacterial small subunit ribosomal RNA", at positions 57 to 305 of the family's 1533-position model. The record is from RNAcentral.
GCAAGUCGAGCGGGAUUAUAUGAAAAAAGCCUUCGGGUGGAUUUUGUAUAUGAGAGCGGCGAACGGGUGAGUACUACCUUGGUACCUGCCCCCAAGUCAGGGAUAGCCAUUGGAAACGAUGAUUAAUACCGGAUGUGCUGGAAACAGUAAAGAUUUAUCGCUUGGGGAGGGGCCUCGGUCCUAUCAGCUAGUUGGUAAGGUAAAAGCUUACCAAGGCAAUGACGGGUAGCUGGUCUGAGAGGACGAUC